UACUGUUUUAAAGAUAGUGUGCUUUUUAUGCUUAUAUUCUGUUCAUUCAGUUUUUGUCCAAUGUAAACUUGUUCUAUAGAGUUGUUAUUUUCCCACCUUUUAGAGUUUGUAGAAUCCUGUGUUUUCAUCUUCAGGAACUGUAACUUAUCUUAUCUUUCAGGGAUAGGGAGUACAUAGUGGAGGUGGCCAGAUAGGCCAUGAGAAGAUGAAGCAUUUGUCAUGACCACACAUUGUUUCCAGGACCUCCUGAGAAGCCUGAUAGAAUCCUAGGGCUUCCAGAAACACUUUUGGAAAAACACAGAGCUUUCUAACUUCAUAAAUAAAAUGUGAAUGGUGUGUGAUAGGUGUAACAAACAAAAUGUCAGAACUGGCUUUUUAAAUAUCUUUAGAUUUUUGCAUCUCUAUAGAAAUUAUCACUAAUAAUAAAUAAUUACAUGUGAAUGAUUUUGCAGACA
RNAcentral lists this long non-coding RNA (455 nucleotides) under Homo sapiens (human). RNAcentral describes it as "non-protein coding lnc-NEDD4-2:1". Lineage: Eukaryota; Metazoa; Chordata; Mammalia; Primates; Hominidae. The record is from RNAcentral.